This 460-nucleotide ribosomal RNA is filed under the name uncultured bacterium. RNAcentral's name for it is "partial 16S ribosomal RNA". It matches the Rfam family "Bacterial small subunit ribosomal RNA", at positions 338 to 795 of the family's 1533-position model. The record is from RNAcentral.
CCUACGGGAGGCAGCAGUGAGGAAUAUUGGUCAAUGGGCGCGAGCCUGAACCAGCCAAGUAGCGUGAAGGAUGCCUGCCCUACGGGUUGUACACUUCUUUUAUAAAGGAAUAAAGUGAGGCACUUGUGCCUUUUUGUAUGUACUUUAUGAAUAAGGAUCGGCUAACUCCGUGCAAGCAGCCGCGGUAAUACUGAGGAUGCGAGCGUUAUCCGGAUUUAUUGGGAGUAAAGGGAGGGUAGAUGGGGUGUUAAGUCAGUUGUGAAAGUUUGCGGCUCAAACGGAAAAUUGAAAUUGAUACAGGGAGUCUUGAGUACAGUUGAGGUAGGCGGAAUUCGUGGUGUAGCGGUGAAAUGCUUAGAGAUCAAGAAGAACUCAGAUUGCGAAGGCAGAUUACUAAACUGCCACUGACAUUGAUGCUCGAAAGUGAGGGUAGCAAACAGGAGUAGAUACCCUAGUAGUC